Molecule: long non-coding RNA, 531 nt
Organism: Girardinichthys multiradiatus
Lineage: Eukaryota; Metazoa; Chordata; Actinopteri; Cyprinodontiformes; Goodeidae
Exons: 4
Source: RefSeq, a predicted model, not a curated record
UGACCUAAUUAUUUGAUUCAGGUGUGUUGAAGCAGAGGAACAUCUAAAAGUUGCAGGUUGCCGGCCCUGGAGGACUGGAGUUUGACACCUGUGCUGUAGAAGGCAACUGAGGGAGGGUGACGAAUUGCACUGAUGACCAGGGAGUCUAAAGAGCUCUUCCAUAUUUCUGCCCACGGUCUUCUGGUGGAAGCCAACAUUCCUCAAAGUGAAAGAAACUUCUCCUGGAAGAUGUUGUCAGGACGACUGUGUUUCUAUUGGUGACUGUGGAGGUGCCGUAGCAACCACAGACUUCGGUCCAUUUAGGUUCAUUAAGUGUUCGGGUCGAUGAAGUCAAGGAGUUGGUGAAAAGCUCCAGGGGGCUUUAUAAAAAGUCUGCUGGGUCGGAUCAGAUCUCAGUUAAGAGUUUAAACAUCAGAGAAGCUGUCUUCACUCAGAGAGAGGAAAUAAAUUAAAAGUAACAUUCUCAAACGGCAUGUGCAGUUGGUUACAAGAAUGUAAAAGUGAAGGCAUAGCAAAAGAAACUUGGUAAUA